GACGAACGCUGGCGGCGUGCCUAAUACAUGCAAGUAGAACGCUGAAGGAGGAGCUUGCUCUUCUGGAUGAGUUGCGAACGGGUGAGUAACGCGUAGGUAACCUGCCUGGUAGCGGGGGAUAACUAUUGGAAACGAUAGCUAAUACCGCAUAAGAGUAGAUGUUGCAUGACAUUUGCUUAAAAGGUGCAAUUGCAUCACUACCAGAUGGACCUGCGUUGUAUUAGCUAGUUGGUGGGGUAACGGCUCACCAAGGCGACGAUACAUAGCCGACCUGAGAGGGUGAUCGGCCACACUGGGACUGAGACACGGCCCAGACUCCUACGGGAGGCAGCAGUAGGGAAUCUUCGGCAAUGGACGGAAGUCUGACCGAGCAACGCCGCGUGAGUGGAGAAGGUUUUCGGAUCGUAAAGCUCUGUUGUAAGAGAAGAACGAGUGUGAGAGUGGAAAGUUCACACUGUGACGGUAUCUUAACAGAAAGGGACGGCUAACUACGUG
RNAcentral lists this ribosomal RNA (495 nucleotides) under uncultured bacterium. Its description in RNAcentral is "partial 16S ribosomal RNA". It matches the Rfam family "Bacterial small subunit ribosomal RNA", at positions 28 to 507 of the family's 1533-position model. The record is from RNAcentral.